AAUAAUUAAAAAAAAAUAUAAUUUUCAAUCUAAGAAGAAACUAAUUUGGGUAAAAAAAAAAUCCUAACCUCAAAAUUGACCACGACAAAACCUAACCUGAUCUGUCACCCAGAGCUCUUGGUUUCGAAGCAAGUUAAUGUGUAAAUUAAAAUCAAAAUCAAACAAAGUCUAUCCCAAAUAAAGCUUCUUUUACAAAAUGUGUAAAAUCAAAAAAAGGUCAACAAACUAAAGUAUCAAAACAAAGUACCACUAUGAACAAGUAUAUAAAAAAAGGGUGUAUAUCAAUACUAAAUCAAAAUUACAAAUUACUUUAAAUUAAUGAACAAAAUUAGACUUUUGAAAUUAAAAGGAAACAUAAACGAGACCAAAACAAUAUACGAUAAAUAUUAAUCGACUUGAUUAUAAUAUAAGUACUAGUUUCCAGGAGCCUGAAGGGCUUAAAAUACAGCAGAGGGAGGUGAAAGUAAGUGACUCCACUCUUUUCGUUAUGCAAAUUUUGUCUGACCUUGUCUUCGGUAGUUGAAUCCCUCAAACGAAGAUUUUAUCCUUCGGAGUAGAAAAUAGAAGUCCGGUCCUCAGCAACGCUCCUCGAGAUGGUGUUGUUAACAGGCGUUGCCUUAAAUUGGAAAAUUUUUGUCCUCCCAACAAAAUGUUCCAGAGUUUUCCUCUCCCCACAAAAAGAACCUGAAUAUAUUACCCGAAUUAAAUUUAAGUUAAUUUUUUUUUUUUUUUUAAAAAUGAACGACCCUUACCUCAGUUGGUCGAGGUUCACGCCAAAACGUUUACUGAAAAUAUGUUAAUAAAUCCGGCAAACAACCGA
This is a non-coding RNA of Onthophagus taurus, 820 nucleotides long. NCBI's taxonomy places the organism in Eukaryota, Metazoa, Arthropoda, Insecta, Coleoptera, Scarabaeidae. The record is from RefSeq and is a predicted model, not a curated record.